GCCUGGCUGGCUCAGUCAGUAGAGCAUGCGACUCUUGAUCUCGGUGUUAUGAGUUCGAACCCCACGUUGGGUG
Molecule: transfer RNA, 73 nt
Filed under: Ailuropoda melanoleuca (giant panda)
Lineage: Eukaryota; Metazoa; Chordata; Mammalia; Carnivora; Ursidae
Rfam family: tRNA
About the family: Transfer RNA (tRNA) molecules are approximately 80 nucleotides in length. Their secondary structure includes four short double-helical elements and three loops (D, anti-codon, and T loops).
Source: Rfam by way of RNAcentral